RNAcentral lists this ribosomal RNA (505 nucleotides) under Verticillium sp. HMDW_C_A_6_1. Its description in RNAcentral is "eukaryotic LSU rRNA". The stretch from base 176 to 329 matches the Rfam family "5.8S ribosomal RNA". Lineage: Eukaryota; Fungi; Ascomycota; Sordariomycetes; Glomerellales; Plectosphaerellaceae. The record is from RNAcentral.
CUUCCGUAGGGUGAACCUGCGGAGGGAUCAUUACCGAGUACUAUAACUCAUAACCCUUUGUGAACCUUCAUACCUGUUGCUUCGGCGGCGCGCCUCUCGGGGCGUGCCCGCCGGCAUUAUCAGAAUCUCUGUUCGAACCCGACGAUACUUCUGAGUGUUCUAAGCGAACUGUUAAAACUUUCAACAACGGAUCUCUUGGCUCCAGCAUCGAUGAAGAACGCAGCGAAACGCGAUAUGUAAUGUGAAUUGCAGAAUUCAGUGAAUCAUCGAAUCUUUGAACGCACAUGGCGCCUUCCAGUAUCCUGGGAGGCAUGCCUGUCCGAGCGUCGUUUCAACCCUCGAGCCCCCGUGGCCCGGCGUUGGGGACCUGCCCAGGCAGUCCCCGAAAACCAGUGGCGGACCCGACGGGCCCUUCCUUUGCGUAGUAACAUCUGCCUCGCAUCGGGAGCCCCCGGGCUAUCCGGCCUCUAAACCCCCCUCAAGCCCGCUCCGGCGGCACCAAGGU